UAUCUAUUUAAUUCUGGUUGUAGAAGAAUGUGAGGAGAAUAGCUUAUAUAAGAUUGUUCUAUUUUGUUGUAAAAGUUAGUAAUUCUUUUAUACUUAGCGGCUAAAUCUUGUUUUUUAGGGAAACCUAGAGCAGGUUUCUUCUCAUCGUAAGUGGUUAAUGCUCAGUGCCAGCAUCCGCGGUUAUUCUGUUAGCUUUAUUCUUCUGAUAUUUGGUUUAAAUGAUUUAGAAGUUAUUUGAUAAUUUUAGGUAUAAUUUUAUUGUCUUUGAUAUAUACUUCUAAGUUGAUUUAUUUUUCUAUAUAAGAUAAGGAUUAGAUACCCUUGUAUUGGAUUGGUAAAUUUUUGUCCAUGGUAUUAACUAAAAGGAUUUGGCAGCUGAUGAAGUUCUUCCGGGGGAAUGUGUAGCAUAAAAGAUAGUCCACUUAAGAUUUUACCUUUUCUAUUUUGGUUAGUGUAUAUCCGGUUUAAUAUCUGCGGUUACUGCUGUUAGGUGAAACUUUAUAGUUUAAGCCAGGUCUAUGUGCUGCUUAUGUUAAGGUGUCGUAUGCAUUACGUUUAUAAAAGGAAAUAUUCUGUAAUGAAAUUUUAUAUUUAGGACUCGGAAGUAGGCUUUGUAUAAAUUAGAUUGUUGGGUCGAAGUAGAUUUAAUCAGGGUACACACCGCCCGUCGCCCAGAGUGUUAGCUGUGGUAAGUCGUAACAUGGUAGCGCUGGGGGAACCGAGCGCUAGUUGCUC
Molecule: non-coding RNA, 735 nt
Filed under: Morishitium polonicum
Lineage: Eukaryota; Metazoa; Platyhelminthes; Trematoda; Plagiorchiida; Cyclocoelidae
Source: RNAcentral